RNAcentral lists this ribosomal RNA (440 nucleotides) under uncultured bacterium. RNAcentral describes it as "partial 16S ribosomal RNA". It matches the Rfam family "Bacterial small subunit ribosomal RNA", at positions 338 to 795 of the family's 1533-position model. The record is from RNAcentral.
CCUACGGGUGGCAGCAGUAGGGAAUAUUGCUCAAUGGGGGAAACCCUGAAGCAGCAACGCCGCGUGGAGGAUGACUGUUUUAUGAUUGUAAACUCCUUUUGUUAGAGGAGAUUAUGACGGUAUCUAACGAAUAAGCACGGGGUAACUCCGUGCCAGCAGCCGCGGUAACACGGAGGGUGCAAGCGUUACUCGGAAUCACUGGGCGUAAAGAGUGAGUAGGUGGGGUAAUAAGUAAGAUGUGAAAUCCUGUAGCUUAACCACAGAACUGCCUUUGAAACUGUUACUCUGGAGUGUGCGAGAGGUAGGUGGAAUGCUUGGUGUAGGGGUAAAAUCCGUAGAGAUCAAGAGGAAUACUCAUUGCGAAGGCGACCUGCUGGAACAUUACUGACGCUGAUGCACGAAAGCGUGGGUAGCAAACAGGAUUAGAUACCCUUGUAGUC